UACGGAGGGUGCAAGCGUUGUUCGGAAUCACUGGGCGUAAAGCGCGUGUAGGCGGCCUCCUCAGCCUGGUGUGAAAGCCCGGGGCUCAACCCCGGAAGUGCAUUGGAUACUGGGAGGCUGGAGUACCGGAGAGGAGGGUGGAAUUCCUGGUGUAGCGGUGAAAUGCGUAGAUAUCAGGAGGAACACCGGUGGCGAAGGCGGCCCUCUGGACGGAUACUGACGCUGAGACGCGACAGCGUGGGGAGCAAACAGG
RNAcentral lists this ribosomal RNA (253 nucleotides) under uncultured bacterium. RNAcentral describes it as "partial 16S ribosomal RNA". It matches the Rfam family "Bacterial small subunit ribosomal RNA", at positions 524 to 776 of the family's 1533-position model. The record is from RNAcentral.